GUGGGGAAUAUUGCACAAUGGGCGAAAGCCUGAUGCAGCAACGCCGCGUGAGGGACGACGGCCUUCGGGUUGUAAACCUCUUUUAGUAGGGAAGAAGCGAAAGUGACGGUACCUGCAGAAAAAGCACCGGCUAACUACGUGCCAGCAGCCGCGGUAAUACGUAGGGUGCAAGCGUUAUCCGGAAUUAUUGGGCGUAAAGAGCUCGUAGGCGGUCUGUCGCGUCUGCUGUGAAAACUGGAGGCUCAACCUCCAGCCUGCAGUGGGUACGGGAAGACUAGAGUGCGGUAGGGGAGAUUGGAAUUCCUGGUGUAGCGGUGAAAUGCGCAGAUAUCAGGAGGAACACCGAUGGCGAAGGCAGAUCUCUGGGCCGUAACUGACGCUGAGGAGCGAAAGCGUGGGGAGCGAACAGGAUUAGAAACCCGGGUAGUCC
Molecule: ribosomal RNA, 430 nt
Filed under: uncultured bacterium
Lineage: Bacteria
Description: partial 16S ribosomal RNA
Rfam family: Bacterial small subunit ribosomal RNA
Source: RNAcentral